Molecule: long non-coding RNA, 216 nt
Filed under: Physcomitrium patens
Lineage: Eukaryota; Viridiplantae; Streptophyta; Bryopsida; Funariales; Funariaceae
Description: long non-coding RNA (PPAT_LNC003776)
Source: RNAcentral
ACUAUGUGGCAAUAUGCUAUAGGACCUCUAAUACGCAUCCAACUUGCAGGACACAUGUCUAAUUUGUAAGGCAAUUUUCUUAGAUGUGCACCAUAUGUCCAACUUGUAUUACACCUAUUCUUAUUAUCUAGAUAAUUAUCAAGGUAAAUAUAUAUGUCUUUGACACAUAUUGAGAAUUCAGAAAGAAAAAUAUUCUAAUACCAUAUUGUAGUGAAU